CAGUGAAAGAAGAGGAAGAAGCGUUAAGAGUGAAAAGAGAAGAGAAUAUUACCGUGAAAGAAGAGGAUGCCGUUUUUGGAGCGAAGAGGGAGGGAGAGAUAACUGUCACAUUGAAGGAGGAGGAGGAAGAGACUGAAGGUCUAAUUAACACCAGAGAGAGACCAGACUCUCACUCUGACAGCGGGAAGAGUCCUUCAGAGGAACCAGACCCAGAGACGGCCAAACCAGAGAGACGACAUCAGUGCUCCCACUGUGAAAAGAGUUUUACUCAUUUAGGGGCCCUGGUUGGGCAUGAGAGAACACACACAGGAGAGAAGCCUUAUCACUGUUCCCACUGUGGAAAGAGUUUUACUCAUUUAGGGAGUGUGAAAAUGCACGAGAGAAUACAUACAGGAGAAAGGCCUUACCACUGCUCCCACUGUGGAAAGAGUUUUACUCAGUUAGGGGCCCUGGUUGGGCAUGAGAGAACACACACAGGAGAGAAGCCUUAUCACUGUUCCCACUGUGGAAAGAGUUUUACUCAUUUAGGGAGUGUGAAAAUGCACGAGA
Coregonus clupeaformis (lake whitefish) is the source of this 549-nucleotide long non-coding RNA. RefSeq lists it as uncharacterized. The transcript is spliced from 2 exons. The record is from RefSeq and is a predicted model, not a curated record. Lineage: Eukaryota; Metazoa; Chordata; Actinopteri; Salmoniformes; Salmonidae.